RNAcentral lists this small RNA (75 nucleotides) under uncultured Mediterraneibacter sp. RNAcentral describes it as "RT-18 RNA". It matches the Rfam family "RT-18 RNA". Rfam says of the family: Clostridiales (Firmicutes). Nearby to self-splicing intron genes Lineage: Bacteria; Bacillati; Bacillota; Clostridia; Lachnospirales; Lachnospiraceae. The record is from RNAcentral.
CACCCCUUGGUGAAAAUGAGCCGUAAAUGGCACCGGUCAGUACCAAGCUGGAAAGCCGGUGAGGCUAACAAAGAG